Molecule: unclassified non-coding RNA, 316 nt
Filed under: Hevea brasiliensis (rubber tree)
Lineage: Eukaryota; Viridiplantae; Streptophyta; Magnoliopsida; Malpighiales; Euphorbiaceae
Source: RNAcentral
UAAAGAUUCCUUAAUUAACCUACACUUAGGUUUAGGGAUUUUACCCGAUAGGGUGCAGAAUCAAAUUCCACCUCCAGGAAGCAAGACCUCCAAGUGUAGGUCCUUUAGUCCAUCCAUAUGAACCACAUAAUCUUGACUCAACCCUUGAACCGCAAGCUCCCUUUUGUUCCUCUCCUUUGGUUAGGCCAACCAAGAACACAAGGAAGGAAGGUUCAAUUCUUGGGUCUUUGUUCUCUUGGGUAAUUAGAGAAACAAUUUCUCUAACUUUGAUUCAAGAGUAAAACUUCUAAUUUCUCUUGAAUCAAUUAGAAGAAAA